RNAcentral lists this ribosomal RNA (274 nucleotides) under uncultured bacterium. RNAcentral describes it as "partial 16S ribosomal RNA". It matches the Rfam family "Bacterial small subunit ribosomal RNA", at positions 523 to 796 of the family's 1533-position model. The record is from RNAcentral.
AUACGAAAGGUGCAAGCGUUGUUGGGAUUUACUGGGCGUAAAGAGAGUGUAGGUUGUUUAUUAAGUCGGAUGUGAAAUCCCGGGGCUCAACCUCGGAACUGCAUUCGAUACUGGUAGACUAGAGUUCGGGAGGGGUAAGCGGAAUUCCGUGUGUAGCAGUGAAAUGCGUAGAUAUACGGAGGAACACCUGAGGCGAAGGCGGCUUACUGGACCGAUACUGACACUGAGACUCGAAAGCGUGGGUAGCAAACAGGAUUAGAAACCCGGGUAGUCC